Molecule: ribosomal RNA, 425 nt
Filed under: uncultured bacterium
Lineage: Bacteria
Description: bacterial SSU rRNA
Rfam family: Bacterial small subunit ribosomal RNA
Source: RNAcentral
AGGGAAUCUUCCACAAUGGACGAAAGUCUGAUGGAGCAACGCCGCGUGAGUGAAGAAGGUUUUCGGAUCGUAAAACUCUGUUGUCAGAGAAGAACGUGUGCGAGAGUAACUGUUCGUGCAGUGACGGUAUCUGACCAGAAAGCCACGGCUAACUACGUGCCAGCAGCCGCGGUAAUACGUAGGUGGCAAGCGUUGUCCGGAUUUAUUGGGCGUAAAGGGAACGCAGGCGGUUUUUUAAGUCUGAUGUGAAAGCCUUCGGCUUAACCGAAGUCGUGCAUUGGAAACUGGAGAACUUGAGUGCAGAAGAGGAGAGUGGAACUCCAUGUGUAGCGGUGAAAUGCGUAGAUAUAUGGAAGAACACCAGUGGCGAAAGCGGCUCUCUGGUCUGUAACUGACGCUGAGGUUCGAAAGCGUGGGUAGCAAAC